GAUGAACGCUGGCGGCGUGCCUAAUACAUGCAAGUCGAGCGAACAGACGAGGAGCUUGCUCCUCUGACGUUAGCGGCGGACGGGUGAGUAACACGUGGAUAACCUACCUAUAAGACUGGGAUAACUUCGGGAAACCGGAGCUAAUACCGGAUAAUAUAUUGAACCGUAUGGUUCAAUAGUGAAAGACGGUUUUGCUGUCACUUAUAGAUGGAUCCGCGCCGCAUUAGCUAGUUGGUAAGGUAACGGCUUACCAAGGCGACGAUGCGUAGCCGACCUGAGAGGGUGAUCGGCCACACUGGAACUGAGACACGGUCCCGACUCCUACGGGAGGCAGCAGUAGGGAAUCUUCCGCAAUGGGCGAAAGCCUGACGGAGCAACGCCGCGUGAGUGAUGAAGGUCUUCGGAUCGUAAAACUCUGUUAUUAGGGAAGAACAAAUGUGUAAGUAACUAUGCACGUCUUGACGGUACCUAAUCAGAAAGCCACGGCUAACUACGU
RNAcentral lists this ribosomal RNA (496 nucleotides) under uncultured bacterium. RNAcentral's name for it is "partial 16S ribosomal RNA". It matches the Rfam family "Bacterial small subunit ribosomal RNA", at positions 28 to 506 of the family's 1533-position model. The record is from RNAcentral.